UGGGAAUUUGGACAAUGGGCGAAAGCCUGAUCCAGCAAUGCCGCGUGUGUGAAGAAGGCCUUCGGGUUGUAAAGCACUUUUGUCCGGAAAGAAAUCCUUGGCUCUAAUACAGUCGGGGGAUGACGGUACCGGAAGAAUAAGCACCGGCUAACUACGUGCCAGCAGCCGCGGUAAUACGUAGGGUGCAAGCGUUAAUCGGAAUUACUGGGCGUAAAGCGUGCGCAGGCGGUUUGCUAAGACCGAUGUGAAAUCCCCGGGCUCAACCUGGGAACUGCAUUGGUGACUGGCAGGCUAGAGUAUGGCAGAGGGGGGUAGAAUUCCACGUGUAGCAGUGAAAUGCGUAGAGAUGUGGAGGAAUACCGAUGGCGAAGGCAGCCCCCUGGGCAAGUACUGACGCUCAUGCACG
This 406-nucleotide ribosomal RNA is filed under the name uncultured bacterium. RNAcentral's name for it is "partial 16S ribosomal RNA". It matches the Rfam family "Bacterial small subunit ribosomal RNA", at positions 357 to 755 of the family's 1533-position model. The record is from RNAcentral.